RNAcentral lists this unclassified non-coding RNA (239 nucleotides) under uncultured fungus. RNAcentral's name for it is "sequence contains ITS1". The stretch from base 1 to 99 matches the Rfam family "5.8S ribosomal RNA", at positions 49 to 154 of the family's 154-position model. Lineage: Eukaryota; Fungi. The record is from RNAcentral.
GAAAAUGCGAUAUGCAGUGUGAAUUGCAGAACCACGAAUCAUCGGAUCUUUGAAUGCAACUAGCUCUGGUCUUAAACCAGAAUGUUUGGUUCAGUGUGCGCAACAAACUCCCUAAGCACAAUGUUGGAGAAGUUCUCCGAUUAAGCACAUGCUCUCAGCAGCAGUCAGAGCAAUCUGAGCUGUUGGCAGAUAAACUCCUUUUUGCUCCUGAACCAAGCAAGAUGACCCGCUGGACUUAA